This 663-nucleotide ribosomal RNA is filed under the name uncultured Faecalibacterium sp. RNAcentral describes it as "bacterial SSU rRNA". It matches the Rfam family "Bacterial small subunit ribosomal RNA", at positions 797 to 1464 of the family's 1533-position model. The record is from RNAcentral. Lineage: Bacteria; Bacillati; Bacillota; Clostridia; Eubacteriales; Oscillospiraceae.
AUGCCGUAAACCGAUGAUUACUAGGUGUUGGAGGAUUGACCCCUUCAGUGCCGCAGUUAACACAAUAAGUAAUCCACCUGGGGAGUACGACCGCAAGGUUGAAACUCAAAGGAAUUGACGGGGGCCCGCACAAGCAGUGGAGUAUGUGGUUUAAUUCGAAGCAACGCGAAGAACCUUACCAGGUCUUGACAUCCGAUGCAUAGUGCAGAGAUGCAUGAAGUCCUUCGGGACAUCGAGACAGGUGGUGCAUGGUUGUCGUCAGCUCGUGUCGUGAGAUGUUGGGUUAAGUCCCGCAACGAGCGCAACCCUUAUUGCCAGUUACUACGCAAGAGGACUCUGGCGAGACUGCCGUUGACAAAACGGAGGAAGGUGGGGAUGACGUCAAAUCAUCAUGCCCUUUAUGACCUGGGCUAUACACGUACUACAAUGGCGUUUAACAAAGAGAAGCAAGACCGCGAGGUGGAGCAAAACUCAAAAACAACGUCUCAGUUCAGAUUGCAGGCUGCAACUCGCCUGCAUGAAGUCGGAAUUGCUAGUAAUCGCGGAUCAGCAUGCCGCGGUGAAUACGUUCCCGGGCCUUGUACACACCGCCCGUCACACCAUGAGAGCCGGGGGGACCCGAAGUCGGUAGUCUAACCGACAAGGAGGACGCCGCCGAAGGUA